GUUGCCUUUGGUCUUGUGAGUGUACCUGAAGGCCAAGUGCAUGCUGGAUGAUAAGGAGAAGAACUUGCAGAAGAUCAAAAUUAACAGAGCAGCAAAGCUUGGGGGCAUCAAGCCUACUCUUUACCUCCCUUCUCUCAUCGGGCGAGCUCAGACUGCCGCCGACUCGGCGUGUGCUGCUCCCAUCCGAGCGGCCGCCACACAUUUGCCUGCGAGGCUUGAGAGGGGGGGCCUCGACACCCGGGAGACUAAGUCCGUUCACAUUACCCACUGUGGGAGAAGCAGUGCGGCGGGCCAGACAUGGGAGCGAGAGAAUGAAAGAGCAGGGGCGAACGAAAUGCAAAAGAAAGUAUGUUUGUGAAACGAUAACUCACUGAGGUAAGAAAGUCUGAAGUGAAGCUGAUAUUCAAAAAUGUUUUAUACAUUGGAACUCCAAAGUGGAGCACCAUCUGUGAUGUGAUGCUGGUGCUUCUCGUUUCAAAACCAAAUUUCGGAAAUGAGCUCAAACGGGGCAGUAAGGGGAGUAGCAGUAAGCAUGUCUGCCCCGCAGUCGAGAAAUCCUAUUUAAAGUUCGCAUGUUUUUCCCAGUAAUUGCUUGGAUUUCCUCCCACAUUCCGAAAACGGGCAUUUUUAGUUCUUUGAAGAUGCUAAAUUGUCCGGAGGUCUGAAUGUGUUUUUCUCUCCCAUAUGUGCCUUGUGAUUGACUCGCGGCCACUCCAGGUUGUACCCCACCUCUCGCACAAAGUCCACAGGGAUGGGCUCGACAAGCGCUGUAGCCCUGUGGCUGGGCGACAUUUUAAACAUCUAUCCAGGAACUGCAAAGUGAUUCCUUUUGGCUAAUUCUGGCUAACCAUUUACAGCAGUAGUUAUUAAUGUGUGCAUUCUCCCCGUUCCAUUAAGCAAUAAACAAUGCAUGGAAGGAAGCUCACACUGUCGCCAUCAUAAAACCUUUAUAAACCCGACAGACCAGUGAUUCCCAACUAGCGUGUCAGGAGAGAUCGUCAGGUGUGCCGUGAGAAAUCAUCCAGUUUGAUCCACCUUAUUCCUGGGUGCACUCAUGAAGAAACAAUUAUGGGUGCAACUUCCUGUGAGACACCGGAAGUAGCAGUGAGCCAUUUGUUGCUAGCUCUUUUGGUUGCCCAGGAGCGGUUCAUUUGGACGUGUAUUGUUUCCUUCGUGAUUAGCAGCCCCCGUAGCAUUUAAAAAUGUCCUUGCGCAUCUCGGCGUGUUUUGAGAAAGACUUAGCAGAAAGCAUCGGAUACAGAGGGAGAGGCUGAAACCAGCUGCGGUGCCAACUAUUUUUCCUACAGCCAUCGGGACCUCAACCACCAGCAGGAGAACUAAAUCUCGCAGCCGCCACGGUGCCGCGGCGAAGCGGCGCAGACAAGAGGUGAGGAUUUCCUUGUAUAUACCUACGACUCUAUUUUGGUUACUAUGCACUGGGCAGCGGGAAAAAAAAGACCCACGCCGUACUUUUCAGUACUGUCGUCUGUACUGUUGCCUAUAUGACAAGUUAACAGACACGGCAAAGACUUUCUGCGCGGCGUGUUAUAACGCUGCUCGAGCAAGGGGCACACAAUAUAUAGGAAUCCUACAUACUAUGUAAAAGCUUGUGCCGUGUCACGGAAACAAAUAGGAAUAUAUAAUACGUGCAUGUAUUACAUAACGUAUAAACAAUCCAAAUAUGAAUUUUAACUGACCCCAUAACAUCUUUGUCAUCUGACUUUUAAACCGAUGUUGACAACGUCUGUUAGUUCCAGAAAUGGCCGCCGUUGUUUACUGGCGCUGUUGCGCAAUAUAGGCAGAGACUGGGACGGCUGUAUUUCCGGGUCACAGAUAUACAAUAUGACUAGAUCCAACCAACAGCCGUGCCUCCCGUGCCUACGUGGUGGCCAUGUUAAAUGUGGCAACAUUCCAUCAAAGGCAACGCAUUGACAUAUGGCGGCCAUGUUGGCCGUCAUGGCAGGAGUUCUAUCUAUUGUUGCAUAAAGCUCUGCACAGAGACAGCGUAUACGGCGGCGGUGUUUAAGAGGAAUACAACGCGCAACAGUCUCUGGAGUCUGGAACAUGCAAUUUUUGGCACAGUAACACUUUAUUUUAUUUUUUUGCCAAGCCGCUUUAGCAACGGAUUUGGAAACACAUUAAUUCCUCGCCGCUCAUGAAAGCAACCUGCCUCGACUCUCCAAUGACUACAAUAACGUCACGUAGCCAUCAAGCACACCAGCGUGCUGCGGGAUCAAAGUCUUCUUCUCCUUCAUUUUCUUCAGCUGGUAUGUAAUCAAUUCCAACUCAAUUCAAUUCCCCAUGAUGCGCAACGACACCAGCAGUCUUGAAAAUAGUCUAAUGGAUGUCAUUCUUUCUCUUUUUCGUCCACAAAACAUGAUGGAUGAUUUUCCACAGCCUACUCCAUAGACAAGCCCAUAACGCUCAUUGUUGAUGUCCCCUCAGAACCUGUGAAAAUGACCGUCAUGGUGCUUCACAGCAGGCUGGAUGGAUCCAGUCAGUGUGCUCUUUCGGACCCAACGUGACAACCCUGACUUUCUUGGAGCUGCUGUUUGUUCCUCGGAUAUGGAGCCGCUGAGCAUGUAUAGACUGUGAUAUUGACCAACUUUGGAAUGUUGGCAGUUGUAGCAGUGCCAACAUUCGGUGCCAGUUGGAUAGGAAUGAUUGGAAACAGGAUGGAAAGCAUGCAAGCCACACUCCGGGCUCCGGAGAGAGCAAGGGAGGCGAGGCACCAAGCGCCAUCCAAGUUCCAAAAAAGGAACUGCAGGUGUCAAAAGUUUUGAACAAACACAACCUCUAAAAACGGGUCCGCUGUUAAGAGUUGUUCAACUGAAAUGUGUAAAAUAGUUGGCGACUUCAUUGUUGGGUCAAGACGCCAAACAGAAAAGGAGAAAUGUUUACUUUUGAAUUUUCUGAAGUUAAGCGCUUCAUUAGAACGCAAAUAAUUUUCUCUUUUUAUUUACUUGCUCUUAUUGUGAAAUGCAGCCCUGCUUUUAUUUAGGAAAUGAGAGAACAUGACACAGUUGUGCUUAUAUGUUUGCGUACCAGGGCAGAAAUUGUAAGACGUGUAGAAUUCUUUAUUAUGCUGUAAUAUCAUUAUAUCUGUGGCAUUAAAAAAAAAAAAGAAACCAUCAGCAAUACUAUCGUUUUAUGGAAAACAUAUUCUAAAAGAUUUGCUAUCAUGGCAGUUGUAAACAUAUAUUGAGAGAGAGCAAGCGCAAUAUUGUACAACCAUCUGAAGAACAUAUCCAGAGUGAAGGCCUGCAUGUGUCAAGCAGACCAGGAGAAACUCACCCAUGCUUUGAUCUCAAGUAGACUUGACUAUUGUAAUUGUCUUCUGACUGGACUCCCCCAAAAGAGCAUUAAACAGCUCUAGCUGAUUCAGAAUGCUGCAGCUUGGGUUCUGACCAGAACAAAGAGGUCAGAGCAUAUUACUGCAAUUCUAAAGUCGUUACACUGGCUCCCAGUCAGCUUUAGAAUAGAUUUGAAAGUGCUGCUACCGGUCUGUCUAUAAAUCACUAAAGGGUUUCGAUCUUGAAUACAGGAAAGAAAUGCUCAUGGAAUAUCAACCCAGUAGGGCUCUGAGAUCGACAGACUCGGGUCAAAUAGUGGCGCACAGAGUCCAAAGCGAACGUGGUGAAGCAGCAUUUGGCUAUUAUGCUGCACACAAAUGGAAGAAGUUGCCAAUAGAAGUGACUAUGAAUGUUUUUAAGUCCAGGUUAAAAACUCGACUUUUUUCUCAUGCUUUUUAGAGCAUUUGCACUGUUUGAAUUGUACUUUUAUUUGAUUUUCUCUUUGUUUGAAAUGUU
Molecule: long non-coding RNA, 3809 nt
Organism: Phyllopteryx taeniolatus (common seadragon)
Lineage: Eukaryota; Metazoa; Chordata; Actinopteri; Syngnathiformes; Syngnathidae
Exons: 4
Source: RefSeq, a predicted model, not a curated record